Molecule: ribosomal RNA, 1087 nt
Filed under: Photobacterium ganghwense
Lineage: Bacteria; Pseudomonadati; Pseudomonadota; Gammaproteobacteria; Vibrionales; Vibrionaceae
Description: bacterial SSU rRNA
Rfam family: Bacterial small subunit ribosomal RNA
Source: RNAcentral
AAUGGGGGAAACCCUGAUGCAGCCAUGCCGCGUGGUGAAGAAGGCCUUCGGGUUGUAAAGCACUUUCAGCAGUGAGGAAGGCGGUAUCGUUAAUAGCGGUAUUGUUUGACGUUAGCUGCAGAAGAAGCACCGGCUAACUCCGUGCCAGCAGCCGCGGUAAUACGGAGGGUGCGAGCGUUAAUCGGAAUUACUGGGCGUAAAGCGCAUGCAGGCGGCUUGUUAAGCCAGAUGUGAAAGCCCGGGGCUCAACCUCGGAAUCGCAUUUGGAACUGGCAGGCUAGAGUCUUGUAGAGGGGGGUAGAAUUUCAGGUGUAGCGGUGAAAUGCGUAGAGAUCUGAAGGAAUACCGGUGGCGAAGGCGGCCCCCUGGACAAAGACUGACGCUCAGAUGCGAAAGCGUGGGGAGCAAACAGGAUUAGAUACCCUGGUAGUCCACGCCGUAAACGAUGUCUACUUGGAGGUUGGUGUCUUGAACACUGGCUUUCGGAGCUAACGCGUUAAGUAGACCGCCUGGGGAGUACGGUCGCAAGAUUAAAACUCAAAUGAAUUGACGGGGGCCCGCACAAGCGGUGGAGCAUGUGGUUUAAUUCGAUGCAACGCGAAGAACCUUACCUACUCUUGACAUCCACGGAAUCUAGCAGAGAUGCUGGAGUGCCUUCGGGAACUGUGAGACAGGUGCUGCAUGGCUGUCGUCAGCUCGUGUUGUGAAAUGUUGGGUUAAGUCCCGCAACGAGCGCAACCCUUAUCCUUGUUUGCCAGCACUUCGGGUGGGAACUCCAGGGAGACUGCCGGUGAUAAACCGGAGGAAGGUGGGGACGACGUCAAGUCAUCAUGGCCCUUACGAGUAGGGCUACACACGUGCUACAAUGGCAUAUACAGAGGGCAGCAAGACCGCGAGGUGGAGCGAAUCCCACAAAGUAUGUCGUAGUCCGGAUUGGAGUCUGCAACUCGACUCCAUGAAGUCGGAAUCGCUAGUAAUCGUGGAUCAGAAUGCCACGGUGAAUACGUUCCCGGGCCUUGUACACACCGCCAGUCGCACCAUGGGAGUGGGCUGCACCAGAAGUAGCAUAGCUUAAUCCUUCGGGAGG